Molecule: long non-coding RNA, 685 nt
Organism: Scylla paramamosain (green mud crab)
Lineage: Eukaryota; Metazoa; Arthropoda; Malacostraca; Decapoda; Portunidae
Exons: 4
Source: RefSeq, a predicted model, not a curated record
UAUUUCAGAAUGCUUGGUGCUUAUGGAGUUCGAUGGCACUGCACUUCACAUCACUUAAUGUCUGUGCAAUCGCUUCGUCCCUGCUAAGUUUACUCCACUUAUCUGAAGCCAUGUUGACAUGCGCUGCCAACAUGAAUACUACGGAGAAAAGCUUAAGAGUUGGGUCACCGCCAUCACUACGACCACCACCACAACCACCACCACUACCACCACUAUUACUGCUAUCACCACCACCACCACCACUAUGCUACUAUCACACCACCACCACCACCACCACACGCAAAACAACAACAACUGCAACGAACAACAACAACAAAAAGUAAAGAACAGUAACAAAAACAAAGUACUGCUACAUGUGGGAGAAGGAGGGAGAUGAAGAAGAAGAAGAAGAAGAAGAAGAAGAAGAAGAAGAAGAAGAAGAAGAAGAAGAAGAAGAAGAAGAAGAAGAGGAGGAGCUGGAGGAGAAGGAGGAAAAUGAGAAAAUGAAGAAGUAGAAGAGUGUUAGCGUAAGACGGACACGUGACAAUGAUAGCGAUGUGGCAGUGAAGCCUUAAACUUUGCCCAGAGUGAAGUGUGCGAGCCAAAAGAUGGGAAAAACUAAACUCGUUAAGGAGAAACAAAAGAAAAAAAGAGCAAAGAAGUAAGAAGAUGAAAGAAAAGGAGGAGUAGAAGAAAAAAGGAGGAG